GAACCAGCGGAGGGAUCAUUACUGAGUUUACGCUCUAUAACCCUUUGUGAACAUACCUAUAACUGUUGUUCGGCGGGUAGGGUCUCCGUGACCCUCCCGGCCUCCCGCCCCCGGGCGGGUCGGCGCCCGCCGGAGGAUAACCAAACUCUGAUUUAACGACGUUUCUUCUGAGUGGUACAAGCAAAUAAUCAAAACUUUUAACAACGGAUCUCUUGGUUCUGGCAUCGAUGAAGAACGCAGCGAAAUGCGAUAAGUAAUGUGAAUUGCAGAAUUCAGUGAAUCAUCGAAUCUUUGAACGCACAUUGCGCCCGCCAGCAUUCUGGCGGGCAUGCCUGUUCGAGCGUCAUUUCAACCCUCAAGCUCUGCUUGGUGUUGGGGCCCUACAGCUGAUGUAGGCCCUCAAAGGUAGUGGCGGACCCUUCCCCGAGCCUCCUUUGCGUAGUAACUUUACGUCUCGCACUGGGAUCCGGAGGGACUCUUUGCCGUAAAACCCCCCAAUUUUCCAAAGGUUGACCUCA
Molecule: ribosomal RNA, 518 nt
Filed under: Colletotrichum gloeosporioides
Lineage: Eukaryota; Fungi; Ascomycota; Sordariomycetes; Glomerellales; Glomerellaceae
Description: eukaryotic LSU rRNA
Rfam family: 5.8S ribosomal RNA (bases 193-346)
Source: RNAcentral